CAGCCACACUGGAACUGAGACACGGUCCAGACUCCUACGGGAGGCAGCAGUGGGGAAUAUUGCACAAUGGGCGCAAGCCUGAUGCAGCCAUGCCGCGUGUAUGAAGAAGGCCUUCGGGUUGUAAAGUACUUUCAGCGGGGAGGAAGGGAGUAAAGUUAAUACCUUUGCUCAUUGACGUUACCCGCAGAAGAAGCACCGGCUAACUCCGUGCCAGCAGCCGCGGUAAUACGGAGGGUGCAAGCGUUAAUCGGAAUUACUGGGCGUAAAGCGCACGCAGGCGGUUUGUUAAGUCAGAUGUGAAAUCCCCGGGCUCAACCUGGGAACUGCAUCUGAUACUGGCAAGCUUGAGUCUCGUAGAGGGGGGUAGAAUUCCAGGUGUAGCGGUGAAAU
RNAcentral lists this ribosomal RNA (390 nucleotides) under Shigella sonnei. RNAcentral's name for it is "bacterial SSU rRNA". It matches the Rfam family "Bacterial small subunit ribosomal RNA", at positions 305 to 687 of the family's 1533-position model. The record is from RNAcentral. Lineage: Bacteria; Pseudomonadati; Pseudomonadota; Gammaproteobacteria; Enterobacterales; Enterobacteriaceae.